RNAcentral lists this ribosomal RNA (2924 nucleotides) under Escherichia coli ATCC 8739. Its description in RNAcentral is "bacterial LSU rRNA". It matches the Rfam family "Bacterial large subunit ribosomal RNA". Lineage: Bacteria; Pseudomonadati; Pseudomonadota; Gammaproteobacteria; Enterobacterales; Enterobacteriaceae. The record is from RNAcentral.
GGGUUGUGAGGUUAAGCGACUAAGCGUACACGGUGGAUGCCCUGGCAGUCAGAGGCGAUGAAGGACGUGCUAAUCUGCGAUAAGCGUCGGUAAGGUGAUAUGAACCGUUAUAACCGGCGAUUUCCGAAUGGGGAAACCCAGUGUGUUUCGACACACUAUCAUUAACUGAAUCCAUAGGUUAAUGAGGCGAACCGGGGGAACUGAAACAUCUAAGUACCCCGAGGAAAAGAAAUCAACCGAGAUUCCCCCAGUAGCGGCGAGCGAACGGGGAGCAGCCCAGAGCCUGAAUCAGUGUGUGUGUUAGUGGAAGCGUCUGGAAAGGCGCGCGAUACAGGGUGACAGCCCCGUACACAAAAAUGCACAUGCUGUGAGCUCGAUGAGUAGGGCGGGACACGUGGUAUCCUGUCUGAAUAUGGGGGGACCAUCCUCCAAGGCUAAAUACUCCUGACUGACCGAUAGUGAACCAGUACCGUGAGGGAAAGGCGAAAAGAACCCCGGCGAGGGGAGUGAAAAAGAACCUGAAACCGUGUACGUACAAGCAGUGGGAGCCUCUUUAUGGGGUGACUGCGUACCUUUUGUAUAAUGGGUCAGCGACUUAUAUUCUGUAGCAAGGUUAACCGAAUAGGGGAGCCGAAGGGAAACCGAGUCUUAACUGGGCGUUAAGUUGCAGGGUAUAGACCCGAAACCCGGUGAUCUAGCCAUGGGCAGGUUGAAGGUUGGGUAACACUAACUGGAGGACCGAACCGACUAAUGUUGAAAAAUUAGCGGAUGACUUGUGGCUGGGGGUGAAAGGCCAAUCAAACCGGGAGAUAGCUGGUUCUCCCCGAAAGCUAUUUAGGUAGCGCCUCGUGAAUUCAUCUCCGGGGGUAGAGCACUGUUUCGGCAAGGGGGUCAUCCCGACUUACCAACCCGAUGCAAACUGCGAAUACCGGAGAAUGUUAUCACGGGAGACACACGGCGGGUGCUAACGUCCGUCGUGAAGAGGGAAACAACCCAGACCGCCAGCUAAGGUCCCAAAGUCAUGGUUAAGUGGGAAACGAUGUGGGAAGGCCCAGACAGCCAGGAUGUUGGCUUAGAAGCAGCCAUCAUUUAAAGAAAGCGUAAUAGCUCACUGGUCGAGUCGGCCUGCGCGGAAGAUGUAACGGGGCUAAACCAUGCACCGAAGCUGCGGCAGCGACGCUUAUGCGUUGUUGGGUAGGGGAGCGUUCUGUAAGCCUGUGAAGGUGUGCUGUGAGGCAUGCUGGAGGUAUCAGAAGUGCGAAUGCUGACAUAAGUAACGAUAAAGCGGGUGAAAAGCCCGCUCGCCGGAAGACCAAGGGUUCCUGUCCAACGUUAAUCGGGGCAGGGUGAGUCGACCCCUAAGGCGAGGCCGAAAGGCGUAGUCGAUGGGAAACAGGUUAAUAUUCCUGUACUUGGUGUUACUGCGAAGGGGGGACGGAGAAGGCUAUGUUGGCCGGGCGACGGUUGUCCCGGUUUAAGCGUGUAGGCUGGUUUUCCAGGCAAAUCCGGAAAAUCAAGGCUGAGGCGUGAUGACGAGGCACUACGGUGCUGAAGCAACAAAUGCCCUGCUUCCAGGAAAAGCCUCUAAGCAUCAGGUAACAUCAAAUCGUACCCCAAACCGACACAGGUGGUCAGGUAGAGAAUACCAAGGCGCUUGAGAGAACUCGGGUGAAGGAACUAGGCAAAAUGGUGCCGUAACUUCGGGAGAAGGCACGCUGAUAUGUAGGUGAAGUCCCUCGCGGAUGGAGCUGAAAUCAGUCGAAGAUACCAGCUGGCUGCAACUGUUUAUUAAAAACACAGCACUGUGCAAACACGAAAGUGGACGUAUACGGUGUGACGCCUGCCCGGUGCCGGAAGGUUAAUUGAUGGGGUCAGCGCAAGCGAAGCUCUUGAUCGAAGCCCCGGUAAACGGCGGCCGUAACUAUAACGGUCCUAAGGUAGCGAAAUUCCUUGUCGGGUAAGUUCCGACCUGCACGAAUGGCGUAAUGAUGGCCAGGCUGUCUCCACCCGAGACUCAGUGAAAUUGAACUCGCUGUGAAGAUGCAGUGUACCCGCGGCAAGACGGAAAGACCCCGUGAACCUUUACUAUAGCUUGACACUGAACAUUGAGCCUUGAUGUGUAGGAUAGGUGGGAGGCUUUGAAGUGUGGACGCCAGUCUGCAUGGAGCCGACCUUGAAAUACCACCCUUUAAUGUUUGAUGUUCUAACGUUGACCCGUAAUCCGGGUUGCGGACAGUGUCUGGUGGGUAGUUUGACUGGGGCGGUCUCCUCCUAAAGAGUAACGGAGGAGCACGAAGGUUGGCUAAUCCUGGUCGGACAUCAGGAGGUUAGUGCAAUGGCAUAAGCCAGCUUGACUGCGAGCGUGACGGCGCGAGCAGGUGCGAAAGCAGGUCAUAGUGAUCCGGUGGUUCUGAAUGGAAGGGCCAUCGCUCAACGGAUAAAAGGUACUCCGGGGAUAACAGGCUGAUACCGCCCAAGAGUUCAUAUCGACGGCGGUGUUUGGCACCUCGAUGUCGGCUCAUCACAUCCUGGGGCUGAAGUAGGUCCCAAGGGUAUGGCUGUUCGCCAUUUAAAGUGGUACGCGAGCUGGGUUUAGAACGUCGUGAGACAGUUCGGUCCCUAUCUGCCGUGGGCGCUGGAGAACUGAGGGGGGCUGCUCCUAGUACGAGAGGACCGGAGUGGACGCAUCACUGGUGUUCGGGUUGUCAUGCCAAUGGCACUGCCCGGUAGCUAAAUGCGGAAGAGAUAAGUGCUGAAAGCAUCUAAGCACGAAACUUGCCCCGAGAUGAGUUCUCCCUGACCCUUUAAGGGUCCUGAAGGAACGUUGAAGACGACGACGUUGAUAGGCCGGGUGUGUAAGCGCAGCGAUGCGUUGAGCUAACCGGUACUAAUGAACCGUGAGGCUUAACCUUACAACGCCGAAG